GACGAACGCUGGCGGCGUGCUUAACACAUGCAAGUCGAACGGAAAGGCCCUGCUUUUGUGGGGUGCUCGAGUGGCGAACGGGUGAGUAACACGUGAGUAACCUGCCCUUGACUUUGGGAUAACUUCAGGAAACUGGGGCUAAUACCGGAUAGGAGCUCCUGCUGCAUGGUGGGGGUUGGAAAGUUUCGGCGGUUGGGGAUGGACUCGCGGCUUAUCAGCUUGUUGGUGGGGUAGUGGCUUACCAAGGCUUUGACGGGUAGCCGGCCUGAGAGGGUGACCGGCCACAUUGGGACUGAGAUACGGCCCAGACUCUUACGGGAGGCAGCAGUGGGGAAUAUUGCACAAUGGGCGGAAGCCUGAUGCAGCAACGCCGCGUGCGGGAUGACGGCCUUCGGGUUGUAAACCGCUUUCGCUUGUGACGAAGCGUGAGUGACGGUAAUGGGUAAAGAAGCACCGGCUAACUACGUG
RNAcentral lists this ribosomal RNA (468 nucleotides) under uncultured bacterium. RNAcentral describes it as "partial 16S ribosomal RNA". It matches the Rfam family "Bacterial small subunit ribosomal RNA", at positions 28 to 507 of the family's 1533-position model. The record is from RNAcentral.